GACGAACGCUGGCGGCGUGCUUAACACAUGCAAGUCGAGCGGUAAGGCCCUUUCGGGGGUACACGAGCGGCGAACGGGUGAGUAACACGUGGGUGACCUGCCCUUAGCUCUGGGAUAAGCCUGGGAAACUGGGUCUAAUACCGGAUAUGACUCCAUGACGCAUGUUGUGGGGUGGAAAGCCUUGUGCGGCUAGGGAUGGGCCCGCGGCCUAUCAGCUUGUUGGUGGGGUGANGGCCUACCCAAGGCGACGACGGGUAGCCGGCCUGAGAGGGCGACCGGCCACACUGGGACUGAGACACGGCCCAGACUCCUACGGGAGGCAGCAGUGGGGAAUCUUGCGCAAUGGGCGAAAGCCUGACGCAGCGACGCCGCGUGGGGAUGACGG
This 385-nucleotide ribosomal RNA is filed under the name uncultured bacterium. RNAcentral's name for it is "bacterial SSU rRNA". It matches the Rfam family "Bacterial small subunit ribosomal RNA", at positions 28 to 414 of the family's 1533-position model. The record is from RNAcentral.